Molecule: ribosomal RNA, 1019 nt
Filed under: uncultured bacterium
Lineage: Bacteria
Description: bacterial SSU rRNA
Rfam family: Bacterial small subunit ribosomal RNA
Source: RNAcentral
AACACAUGCAAGUCGAGCGCGCCUUCGGGUGAGCGGCGGACGGGUUAGUAACGCGUGGGAACGUGCCCUUCUCUACGGAAUAGCCUCUGGAAACGGAGAGUAAUACCGUAUACGCCCUUUGGGGGAAAGAUUUAUCGGAGAAGGAUCGGCCCGCGUUAGAUUAGGUAGUUGGUGGGGUAACGGCCUACCAAGCCUACGAUCUAUAGCUGGUUUUAGAGGAUGAUCAGCAACACUGGGACUGAGACACGGCCCAGACUCCUACGGGAGGCAGCAGUGGGGAAUCUUAGACAAUGGGGGCAACCCUGAUCUAGCCAUGCCGCGUGAGUGAUGAAGGCCUUAGGGUCGUAAAGCUCUUUCGCCUGUGAUGAUAAUGACAGUACCUGGUAAAGAAACCCCGGCUAACUCCGUGCCAGCAGCCGCGGUAAUACGGAGGGGGUUAGCGUUGUUCGGAAUUACUGGGCGUAAAGCGCGCGUAGGCGGACCAGAAAGUUGGGGGUGAAAUCCCGGGGCUCAACCCCGGAACUGCCUCCAAAACUCCUGGUCUAGAGUUCGAGAGAGGUGAGUGGAAUUCCGAGUGUAGAGGUGAAAUUCGUAGAUAUUCGGAGGAACACCAGUGGCGAAGGCGGCUCACUGGCUCGAUACUGACGCUGAGGUGCGAAAGUGUGGGGAGCAAACAGGAUUAGAUACCCUGGUAGUCCACACCGUAAACGAUGAAUGCCAGUCGUCGGGUAGCAUGCUAUUCGGUGACACACCUAACGGAUUAAGCAUUCCGCCUGGGGAGUACGGUCGCAAGAUUAAAACUCAAAGGAAUUGACGGGGGCCCGCACAAGCGGUGGAGCAUGUGGUUUAAUUUCGAAGCAACGCGCAGAACCUUACCAACCCCUUGACAUCCUCGGACCGAUCCAGAGAUGGAUCUUUCACUUCGUUGACCGAUUGACAGGUGCUGCAUGCUGUCGUCAGCUCGUGUCGUGAGAUGUCAUAAGUUCGGCAACGAGCGCAAACCCACAUCCUUAGUUUGC